This 253-nucleotide ribosomal RNA is filed under the name uncultured bacterium. RNAcentral's name for it is "partial 16S ribosomal RNA". It matches the Rfam family "Bacterial small subunit ribosomal RNA", at positions 524 to 776 of the family's 1533-position model. The record is from RNAcentral.
UACAGAGGUCUCAAGCGUUGUCCGGAGUUACUGGGCGUAAAGGGCAUGCAGGCGGUCGGACGCGUUUUGUGUGACAGCGGAUGGCUUACCUAUCCGAGCAUACGAAAGACGGUUGGACUUGAGGACUCGAGAGGGACACGGAAUUCCGGGUGGAGUGGUGAAAUGCGUAGAGAUCCGGAGGAACACCGAAGGCGAAGGCAGUGUCCUGGCGAGUGACUGACGCUGAGGUGCGAAAGCCAGGGGAGCGAACAGG